Molecule: long non-coding RNA, 3047 nt
Filed under: Hordeum vulgare
Lineage: Eukaryota; Viridiplantae; Streptophyta; Magnoliopsida; Poales; Poaceae
Description: long non-coding RNA (HVUL_LNC014828)
Source: RNAcentral
CCUCCGCCGCUUCUCCCGCGCCUUAUCCUCCCAGUUCCUCUCUCCUAGCUAAUCUCCAACCCUACACCAUCCUCUCCUCCUUGACCGCCUUUCUCCUCCAUUGGAAAAGGAGCACGGGCUCGUCUCUGCGUAGCCGCUACAAGGACGUCGGGUGGAGGGAUCAGUGGUCGGUGGUAAGAGUAGGAGCACACGGGGGCGGACGGCCUCCCUGCGCGACGGUGGAUACUUCACCGACGGCCAGCCAAUACGUCGGACAGAAGAAGAAGAUGGCGUGGGCGAUGAUAUGGUGCGGUGGAAGAAUACGGCGUGGGCGAUUCCGGUGAGAUAUGCCUCCAGCGACGCAAUAAUGUGAAGAUCCUCUCCACAAGCCAUACUCUUGCGUUGCAGCGAGAGGUCGUUAGAUUCGUCGUGCUAGACGUAGCCGUCGCCCACUUGCUCCACCUAAAGUUCCUCCUCCCCACCACGGGUAGAUGCCGGUGAGGCCAGCCUUCCCUGCACGUGCAGGUACUCCCCCGCCCCCUUUCCCUAUCUCUCUUCCCUGACCCCGUCUCUCGAUUGUACACAGAGAGAGACCCGUGGUGGCAGCACAACAGUGCUUCAGUGGAUAGGUUGUGAAAGAAAGUUCAGAUUAGGGACUAUCAUUCUCAUAGAGUCAUAGUAUGCUUUGCUGAGGUAGAUUUUUCAAGUUUACCAGGUUUAGUUAGGUUUUUGUACCCUUGUUGAGAUGGCAUGACACUGAUAAAUUUAUUUUGUUGACGUAGCUACUUUGUUCCCCAAUUUUACCGAUGCAUUUUAUUCUUAUAUCUACCUGAUUUCUUAACCGAUUCAUCUGUUGGCUUAGAUAGUACUUCAAAUUAUCCGGUGAUGCACACAUUUUAUUUCAAAAGAAAAUUUGAUUGAUUGAGGAGCUGCACACUAUCUCAGUUUGUAUAUGCUUUCAACGUCGAAAAUAAUUUAGCCAUGUUUAUGUUUUUUUGCUUAGGUGAGCCUUCCCAUGAUGAUGAAUUUGCAUAAGAAUGCAGAUUUUCCUUGGGAAUCCUACUAGAUGGGUAGAGAUCUUGAUAGAUUUACUUAAUAUUCAGGAGCCCAAGAGUAAUGUACUGUCUUCUCUAAUUUGGAAAUGAAGUAUGGUGUGCGGAGUGGAUGUACUAACAUAGUAUGUGCUUUUGUGCUGAAUUACAUGGAAGGUCAAGAUGACCUCACCUACUGAAAUGUUUUUUUGGUUAUGUUUAUUAAUCUAUGGAUGCCUACUGGCCCUAAAUAUGUUUGGUCAAAAUGUUUUCCUAUGAAGUUUCUAUGCUAUAUAAGAAAGUUAGUCUGAAAUAUUUGAAGUCAUAUUCUAUUGUAUAGUUGCAUAGCUAAUUCAGUUGCAUUAUUUCAGAGCAGGUGUUUGUAUCUAUCUUAUUUUUCAGGUUACUCGUAUUGCAUAGUGAUUGAUUUCGUGUAGACUCGUAUGCCAGAUUUUAUUUUAAAGUGUAUGCUGGACAUAUCCUCGUAAUAGUAAGUUCAUAUUCUAUUUCGAGGGACUCACCCAGGCACACGCUCCCACAUCAUCCCACUAAGGUAUGGUCCCUUGACAACCCUUCCUAUCUCUUUUGUUGCGAUUUUUGGCAGCUGUAGCCUGCAAGCUGAGACGAUAAGUCAUGCAUGUAGGGGGCGGUGUUCGUGGACAUGGAUGGGAAGCAUUUCAGGCACAUCCUCCGUUGGCUAAGGGACAUUUGUCAUCCCUGCGCUCUUGAAGUCCGUCGCCAAGGUGCCCAAGAAGGUCUAGAUGGAUGCAGGUGUCAUUGUCGCCUCCAACCUCGGCCGCUCUCCGGCAGCGGCGGGAACCUCCAGCUCAGCCUGGACGGAGCGAGCGGGCUUUUCGGCCCGCUCGUGGCCCGCUCUGGACCGGACGGGCCCGAAGAAAAAACUGACCGGUCCGGUUACUAAAAUUCAGCCCGAAAAUUACUCGGUCCGGUCCGGUUAAAACUCGGUCCGGCUCGGAGGACCGAGGCCCAUCCCAAUUAGAUCUAAUCACAAGGGCCCAGUCCAAUUAUAUGUUAUAGAUCGUGGGUGUCUGACCUACCCUAUCCCUCGAUCCAUUCCACCAGCGCCGCCGUUCUCCCCCUGGCCCCCUUCCUCUCAUUCCCUCGCGUCAGCCCCCGCCUCCUCUGCUCCUUCAGCAACAGGCUGUCGUUGCCGGCACAUCCACCUCGCCAGCCAGCCCCUCCGUCGGCCCCGUCCGCCCGCUGCGCUGCCAUCCGUCGGCGACCUUCGCUGCUGCCCGUCGCCUUGCGCCUCUUGCCUUCCUGCCAAGAACGCCGCACAUCAGGUGCUUCUUCUCCGGCUCCGGCCACCGUGCUACUACUCCGACCACCGCUCGAACGUCCUGGACCCACAUGGCAGUGACUCGACGUCGCGGGACCGUGGGACCGACGGUCCGCACCGAGCUUCACACCGGCCGGUCCGAUCUCUGAAAUCAGGCUCGCUGUACUGCUCGGUCCGGUCCGGUCCGGACUGCCGGAGUCCGGUCCAAACGGCGGCUCGGACCGGGACCGGACCGGCCCGGACCGUGUCCACCCUGACCUUCAGCCAUGGGUCUACGUCUCAGUGCUCAUUCUCUUUUCUAGGUAAAGAUAGCAUAGUCAGAGCGGUCAACAACCCGUCAGUAACUAGCCAUUCCGUUUAUAGUUUGCUGUUGCAAAUUGUUUAUAUUAUUAUCCCUCGUUCUCUUGCUCUUGGGUUUAGGUAUAUUGACUCAUAAAAAAAUCUUGAUGUAAUGAAAAUUCACCCACCUUAUGGUUUUAUAGAAACUGCGUACUAUUUCCAGUUGAACAAAUUUACUUUCAGCAAUAAGAACAACUCAAACUCGGUAACUUUAAUUAGCUAAUUCGGUGCAAACGAGCACAUAUUACUCAACCAAUGCAAAUAGUGCAGCUAAUGUAAUUUGAAACUUUAGUUGGCUGCACGCAUUAGCAUAAAUGAACACUAUGUGCAGCCAAUCUAAUUUUAGGUCCACUUGCAUUGUGCCAUAAACAAAUGGACAAGCACUGGAAGAAGCCAAG